This 770-nucleotide small RNA is filed under the name Saccharomyces jurei. RNAcentral's name for it is "eukaryotic LSU rRNA". The stretch from base 372 to 525 matches the Rfam family "5.8S ribosomal RNA". Lineage: Eukaryota; Fungi; Ascomycota; Saccharomycetes; Saccharomycetales; Saccharomycetaceae. The record is from RNAcentral.
AGGAUCAUUAAAGAAAUUUAAUAAUUUUGAAAAUGGAUUUUUUUGUUUUGGCAAGAGCAUGAGCUUUUACUGGGCAAGAAUACAAGAGAUGGAGAGUCCAGUGGGGCCUGCGCUUAAGUGCGCGGUCUUACUAGGCUUGUAAGUUUCUUUCUUGCUAUUCCAAACAGUGAGAGAUCUUUGUGUUUUUGUUAUAGGACAAUUAAAACCGUUUCAAUACAACACACUGUGGAGUUUUUAUAUCUUUGCAACUUUUUCUUUGGGCUUUCGAGCAAUCGAGGCCCAGAGGUAACAAACACAAACAAUUUUAUUUAUUCAUUAAAUUUUUGUCAAAAACAAGAAUUUUCGUAACUGGAAAUUUUAAAAAUAUUAAAAACUUUCAACAACGGAUCUCUUGGUUCUCGCAUCGAUGAAGAACGCAGCGAAAUGCGAUACGUAAUGUGAAUUGCAGAAUUCCGUGAAUCAUCGAAUCUUUGAACGCACAUUGCGCCCCUUGGUAUUCCAGGGGGCAUGCCUGUUUGAGCGUCAUUUCCUUCUCAAACAUUCUGUUUGGUAGUGAGUGAUACUCUUUGGAGUUAACUUGAAAUUGCUGGCCUUUUCAUUGGAUGUUUUUUUCCAAAGAGAGGUUUCUCUGCGUGCUUGAGGUAUAAUGCAAGUACGGUCGUUUUAGGUUUUACCAACUGCGGCUAAUCUUUUUUGUACUGAGCGUAUUGGAACGUUAUCGAUAAGAAGAGAGCGUCUAGGCGAACAAUGUUCUUAAAGUUUGACCUCAA